AGAGUUUGAUUCAUGGCUCAGGAUGAACGCUAGCUACAGGCUUAACACAUGCAAGUCGCGGGGCAUCAUGUUGGUUGCUUGCAACCGAUGAUGGCGACCGGCGCACGGGUGAGUAACGCGUAUCCAACCUGCCUAUUACCACGGGAUACCCCGGCGAAAGUCGGACUAAUACCGUAUGUUGUCCUCCAAUGGCAUCAGCAGUGGACGAAAGGUUUAGCGGUAAUGGAUGGGGAUGCGUCCGAUUAGCUUGUUGGCGGGGUAACAGCCCACCAAGGCAUCGAUCGGUAGGGGUUCUGAGAGGAAGGUCCCCCACACUGGAACUGAGACACGGUCCAGACUCCUACGGGAGGCAGCAGUGAGGAAUAUUGGUCAAUGGGCGUAAGCCUGAACCAGCCAAGUAGCGUGCAGGAUGACGGCCCUAUGGGUUGUAAACUGCUUUUAUGCGAGGAUAAAGUCACCCACGUGUGGGUGUUUGCAGGUAUUGAAUGAAUAAGGACCGGCUAAUUCCGUGCCAGCAGCCGCGGU
Molecule: ribosomal RNA, 525 nt
Filed under: Prevotella sp. oral clone 19-25
Lineage: Bacteria; Pseudomonadati; Bacteroidota; Bacteroidia; Bacteroidales; Prevotellaceae
Description: bacterial SSU rRNA
Rfam family: Bacterial small subunit ribosomal RNA
Source: RNAcentral